Molecule: non-coding RNA, 263 nt
Organism: Maylandia zebra (zebra mbuna)
Lineage: Eukaryota; Metazoa; Chordata; Actinopteri; Cichliformes; Cichlidae
Source: RefSeq, a predicted model, not a curated record
AGCAUCAGGAAUGUGGUUUCUUCUUUUUGGAUCUAUAAUAUUUAGUCUGCCACUCUGUGCCUGGUGGACUUGGCUGGCAGUGAGCGAAUGGUGAAGAGCCAGUCUCAGGGUGACCGUUUCAAAGAGAUGACCGCCAUCAACAGCUCACUGUCCAACCUGGGCGUCGUUAUCGCCGCUCUGGCCAAAAAGGAGACUUACGUAGCUUACAGGAACUCGAAGCUCACGUACCUCCUUCAGGGAUGUUUGGGGGGAAACGGCAAAAC